Molecule: ribosomal RNA, 362 nt
Filed under: uncultured bacterium
Lineage: Bacteria
Description: partial 16S ribosomal RNA
Rfam family: Bacterial small subunit ribosomal RNA
Source: RNAcentral
CCUACGGGAGGCAGCAGUGGGGAAUAUUGCACAAUGGGGGAAACCCUGAUGCAGCGACGCCGCGUGAGUGAAGAAGGAAUUCGUUAUGUAAAGCUCUAUCAGCAGGGAAGAAAAUGACGGUACCUGAGUAAGAAGCCCCGGCUAACGACGUGCCAGCAGCCGCGGUAAUACGGAGGGGGCAAGCGUUAUCCGGAUUUACUGGGUGUAAAGGGAGCGUAGACGGCAGGGCAAGUCUGGAGUGAAAGGCGGGGGCUCACCCCCCGGACUGCUCUGGAAACGGUACGGCUGGAUUGCAGGAGCGGUUAGUGGACUUCCUCGUUUAGCGGUGCACUGCGUCGAUAUUAGGCGGACCACCAGUGGCG